CAGUCGCCGCGGGAAUACAGAGGGUGCAAGCGUUAAUCGGAAUUACUGGGCGUAAAGCGCGCGUAGGUGGUUCGUUAAGUUGGAUGUGAAAUCCCCGGGCUCAACCUGGGAACUGCAUCCAAAACUGGCGAGCUAGAGUAGGGCAGAGGGUGGUGGAAUUUCCUGUGUAGCGGUGAAAUGCGUAGAUAUAGGAAGGAACACCAGUGGCGAAGGCGACCACCUGGGCUCAUACUGACACUGAGGUGCGAAAGCGUGGGGAGCAAACAGGAUUAGAUACCCCAGUAGUCCCUGUCUCUUAUAU
This 301-nucleotide ribosomal RNA is filed under the name uncultured bacterium. RNAcentral's name for it is "partial 16S ribosomal RNA". It matches the Rfam family "Bacterial small subunit ribosomal RNA", at positions 509 to 809 of the family's 1533-position model. The record is from RNAcentral.